GUUUGCUGUACUUCUACGUGAUUUGGUUGAGUGCUGAGCAGAUCUCAGAAGUUCGCAGUUCCACGUUGCAGGACUUGGUAUGAGGGCUGCACAUCACAGCCCUAACAACUGUUCAGAGGCAUUGAGGAUGGGGAACAUCAGUGAUUCCUAACUGUGCAUCACAGGAGUGGAAUAUCUUCCUGGUAACUAAGGCCACAAACCCCAUUUUUUUGAGUUCUUCUAUGUCAGAGGAUGACAAAAGGCUGGCUAAGGCAGUACCAACAGGA
Molecule: long non-coding RNA, 266 nt
Organism: Grus americana (Whooping crane)
Lineage: Eukaryota; Metazoa; Chordata; Aves; Gruiformes; Gruidae
Exons: 3
Source: RefSeq, a predicted model, not a curated record